UAAUAAACUAUAUUUUAAUUCUACACACUCCGUCUCAAUGAUAUUUGAAUUCUAAAUACUUGCAUA
RNAcentral lists this small RNA (66 nucleotides) under Arabidopsis thaliana (thale cress). RNAcentral's name for it is "ATSL045300". The record is from RNAcentral. Lineage: Eukaryota; Viridiplantae; Streptophyta; Magnoliopsida; Brassicales; Brassicaceae.